This 312-nucleotide long non-coding RNA is filed under the name Nicotiana benthamiana. RNAcentral describes it as "long non-coding RNA (NBEN_LNC034500)". The record is from RNAcentral. Lineage: Eukaryota; Viridiplantae; Streptophyta; Magnoliopsida; Solanales; Solanaceae.
GUGUAACCUGGAUGGGUAGGCUUGGAAUUGCAAGGGGAACAAUUUGUUUUGAAGAGUCGUCGCCAAAAAAGGCCGGAAGGUGGCCCACGCGACGUCUGAACUUAGCCGGAAAAUUUUCUUCAAGUGGCGAGUGGUGGAAUUGCAAGGGAACAAUUUUUUCAGAAGAGUCAUCCCCAAAAAUGGACGGAAGGUGGCCCACGUGACGUUGGAACUUCGCCGAAAAAUUUUCUUCAAGUGGCGAGCGGCGGCGCGUGGAGAGUAUUCUGACUGAGAUCUUUUUAUGGGUUGGUGGCCGGAGCCCGAUCUACUUUA